This 440-nucleotide ribosomal RNA is filed under the name uncultured bacterium. RNAcentral describes it as "partial 16S ribosomal RNA". It matches the Rfam family "Bacterial small subunit ribosomal RNA", at positions 338 to 795 of the family's 1533-position model. The record is from RNAcentral.
CCUACGGGAGGCAGCAGUAGGGAAUAUUGCUCAAUGGGGGAAACCCUGAAGCAGCAACGCCGCGUGGAUGAUGAAGGUUUUCGGAUUGUAAACUCCUUUUGUUAGAGAAGAUAAUGACGGUAUCUAACGAAUAAGCACCGGCUAACUCCGUGCCAGCAUCCGCGGUAAUACGGAGGGUGCAAGCGUUACUCGGAAUCACUGGGCGGAAAGAGCGCGUAGGCGGGAUAGCAAGUCAGAUGUGAAAUCCUAUGGCUUAACCAUAGAACUGCAUGUGAAACUGUUAUUCUAGAGUAUGGGAGAGGUAGGUGGAAUUCUUGGUGGAGGGGUAAAAUCCGUAGAGAUCAAGAGGAAUACUCAUUGCGAAGGCGACCUGCUAGAACAUAACUGACGCUGAUGCGCGAAAGCGUGGGGAGCAAACAGGAUUAGAUACCCGAGUAGUC